CAAUAGCGUAUAUUUAAGUUGCUGCAGUUAAAAAGCUCGUAGUUGAAUUUCGGGUGGGAAUGGCCGGUCCGCCGUUUCGGUGUGCACUUGCUACGCCCACCUUGCUGCCGGGGACGUGCUCUUGAGUUCACGCUCGGGACACGGAGUCGGCGAGGUUACUUUGAGUAAAUUAGAGUGUUCAAAGCAGGCCUACGCUCUGAAUACAUUAGCAUGGAAUAACACGAUAGGACUCUGGCCUAUCUUGUUGGUCUGUAGGACCGGAGUAAUGAUUAAGAGGGACAGUCGGGGGCAUUCGUAUUUCAUUGUCAGAGGUGAAAUUCUUGGAUUUAUGAAAGACGAACUACUGCGAAAGCAUUUGCCAAGGAUGUUUUCAUUAA
RNAcentral lists this ribosomal RNA (377 nucleotides) under uncultured eukaryote. RNAcentral's name for it is "partial 18S ribosomal RNA". It matches the Rfam family "Eukaryotic small subunit ribosomal RNA", at positions 592 to 976 of the family's 1831-position model. The record is from RNAcentral.